RNAcentral lists this long non-coding RNA (2932 nucleotides) under Takifugu rubripes (torafugu). Its description in RNAcentral is "lncRNA (ENSTRUG00000028688.1)". The record is from RNAcentral. Lineage: Eukaryota; Metazoa; Chordata; Actinopteri; Tetraodontiformes; Tetraodontidae.
AUGAAUAUAUUUUUUUCUUUUUUGGGCUGCCUCACUCCUCACACGCAUUUCGCCUCUCUUGUCUCCAGAACUCAGGCCACAAGGACUGUGAUGUCCAGUAUGCGGAGCUGGAUACUGCAGCUUUGGCCUCCUCUCCCAGCCCACGAAGCUCCGCUCACACUGGCCCGGGGGAUCUUGUCGAGUAUGCAACCAUCCAGCCUAGCUCACACUAGCGCAUGCCAUUAUAGGCCUUUCCCCUCAGACUUUGGCCUCAAGGACUCUGGAAGGCGUCCGGAGGAGCUGAAUCCGGCUGAAAUCAUGUGCUACCCACGCGUCUGUAACACGGAACCCUUCCCCGAGCCUCAGCCCGCUCCAGCCUACCCUCCCGUCACCUUCCUGCCUCAGAACCCCUAUCAGCAGCAUCCAACCAACGAGCCCACCUACUCCAACACAGGCUUCCCUGCCCCCGGCCCACGCGCACCAUUCUCGUUCCCCAAGGAGCAGUCGGUGUAAGACGCCCCUUAACUUUUAGCGAACGGCGCCAUGAUCGCUUCAUGGAAAACAAAAGCCCUGCUAAAGGAUUGCUGUUGAUUCUGUCUGUUUUUUAAGCUUCAAACAUCAUCUCAUGUGAACUUGCCCCCCCCCCCCCCCACCCUCUCCUCUCCCCAUGUAUUGUGGUCUGCUUGCUUCACUCUGUAGAUGCAUUUUCACCAAGCAGAGCAGUUCAGUCCAGUACGCAAUUCGUUUUUACGAGUCACAUGACAUCAAAGCAGUUACAUCAUCAAGUGCUGCUUAAUUGGGGAAAAAAGAGCCCAUCAGAAAUUGCGGGUCUCAUCAUGGUAGCUUUGACUUUAGACGGCAGAAAUGUAAAUAAUUGGGCAGCGUACAGAGCUGAACUGUGUGGAGAUGCAGUGUAUACGACCCAGCACAGUGUGUGAUGUUAGCGUACCCUCCUCCAACACACUUUCACCCCCUCACACACCCACUCCAUGUCUGAGUGCAUCCUCACCUUUAUAUUCUAUUUUUUAUUUGAAACCCUGUACAGAUUUGUCACUCAUGAGCUCGUUUCUUAUUUUUUUCCUUAUUUCACCCCACAGUGUUAGUGACCUUUUAAAGAAACGUGCUUCUUUUCAUUUGGUUUGUUUGUCUGUCAUUCUUAUGCUUGCCUCUUUGAAAUUAAUAUUCUAUACUGUAUGUGUGACUGGUGUGUAGUGGUGGGAAAAAAAGAGAAAACUUUUUGAUUUCUGAAACUAAUUAUAAUAAAAUAAUGACAUGGACCACCCCUUUAAUGACAGUUAAUGACAGGGUUGUUAUGUGCAGAUUUGAAUUGGCAGUCUCUCAUCUGAAUCCUUCAUUAAUUUUUCAUUAUGGCUUUGCUAUUAUGGCGAUUGACUGGAUAUUUCAGACUAUUUAAAAGCGAAUGUUCCUCAUUAGCUACAACAAAAAACAAAGGGCUUGAAAUUUGACAGUAACUAUUUCUUCUGUGUCUCCAAUUAUUAUUAUUAUUAUUAUUAUUAUUAUUAUUAUUAUUGGUCCAUAUACUCUCAUGCUGGUAUUUGUUUAAUCUACCUUGUCUGUUGGGAAUUAGAAGCGUAGUUUGGGGAUGUGCUAAUUAUUCCCAGUUUACAUUAUCAUUUCCCAUAUGCUGUAUUUUCCAUAUCCGUAUGCAAACACUGGGGUUCGUUUAGGCUAACUGUUGCAGAGUUAGGAAGCAGCAGGAGCUGCUGUUUAUGCAGAUGCACCAGGUGAAGACAAUCAUGCAUUGGGUUGUCCUAGAAAAAGAUUGGGAACAAAUAUUGUUUCUUGUUUUUUGGGUUGCCCAAUCAGAAAGGGAACUACUUGUUCAAGGGAAGUUCACAUAUUUAACAUAUUUAAAGAGUUUGGUUCAUCAUGACUGGUAGUAAUAUAUUGUCGGAUACACUGAGGAGAAAUGCCUGCUGCUGUAUUUUUUUAGGAAAUGCUCAGUUAUAUUUGAUAGCACUUGAUUUAUGUGCAGACUACAGUUUACACUCCGUCCUUUUCAGACCAUACAUAAGCUAACGUGCUUUACGAGCCAAUCUGAGCGUUCUGCCUCUGACACGCCAGCCCUGUCGAGACAGAACAGUCCAUUCAGCUAUGCUAAAGUUCACUCUUUUUUUUGCCAUGUCAGAUGUUGUUUUGUUUUUUUUUAAAAAGAGAGAUGAAGCAAAUUUUUGUGUUUGUGCUAAAUGUUAAAAUAAGAUGUUGAAGGUAAUUUAGUGUUUAAAUCUUAAUGGUGGUUAAUGGAAUCGAGUAAAACUUGUGAGACUUUCUCCCGUGCUCACCUUGUUGUCUUGCGAUGGCUAUAUGCGAUAUGUGUGCUAGCAUUUAGUUUAAGCAGUGAUGUCUGGUCACUGAAGGAGUUUGAGCCUUUUACUGUACCUGCUGUGUGGAAAAAACACUUAAAACACCGAGUCUACAUGUGACACUUUGACUAUUCAGAAAAACCCUCCAGUUAAUAUUAUUAUUAUUAUCAUCAUUAUUAUUUUUUAAUAUUAUUAAUAUUGGUUUCAAUGUAUGCUUAACUGCAUUGCAUGUAUGUUUUACAUAGUUUUUCAGUCACAUUUAAUUAUUUCAAAUGUCCUGAAGAUAACUGCCAUGUCUGUUUUCACCCAUGACCUUGUUUUAUUUUGUGUUUUGUACAUUAUAGGUUAUUAACAUUAGAGUUUUUGUUUUUUGUUUUUUUGGGGUUUUUUGGGUAAUAUGCUGUGAACGUUUAGGCCUGAAGCAUAUUUGGUCUGACACUACUUGUACAACUGUUAAAGGGUAAUAUCUGAUUAAAUCUUACAGAUUUCAGCUCUUUUUUUAAAAUAAUGGCAUGAUGUGAAAUGAUUCAUCCUGUUUUGUUUUAUUCCGUGUAAAUAUUAACAGUGUAUCUGAUGUGUGAAAAAAGGAAAUGCAGUCUAACAUUAAACAUUCACACACUACCCUGAAC